CCUACGGGAGGCAGCAGUGAGGAAUAUUGGUCAAUGGGCGCGAGCCUGAACCAGCCAAGUCGCGUGAGGGAGGACGGCCCUACGGGUUGUAAACCUCUUUUGCCGGGGAGCAACGGGCGUCACGUGUGGCGCCACUGAGAGUACCCGGAGAAAAAGCAUCGGCUAACUCCGUGCCAGCAGCCGAGGUUAUACGGAGGUUGGGAGCGUUAUCGGGUUUUAUUGGGUUGAAAGGGUGCGUAGGCGGAUCGUUAAGUCAGUGGUCAAAUUGAGGGGUUAAACCCCUUACCGCAAUUGAUACUGGCGCUCUUGAGUGGAAGAGAGGUAUGCGGAAUGCGUGGUGUAGCGGUGAAAUGCAUAGAUAUCACGCAGAACCCCGAUUGCGAAGGCAGCAUGCCGGCUUCCGACUGACGCUGAAGCACGAAAGCGUGGGGAUCGAACAGGAUUAGAUACCCUAGUAGUC
Molecule: ribosomal RNA, 460 nt
Filed under: uncultured bacterium
Lineage: Bacteria
Description: partial 16S ribosomal RNA
Rfam family: Bacterial small subunit ribosomal RNA
Source: RNAcentral